GAAGAGAGGUUGAGGAGAUGGGAAGGGGAGGCAGAGCCGGCGGCUCCCGGCGGCGGCGUGCCGUCCGGUGGCGCGGUGACAGGAGGCCGAAGGAGAGGGAGAAUCGGGAAGGGGAAGAGUGAGCGAGAGAGAGAGAGGAGAGGGUGGCGUGAGUGGUGUGUGUUUGUGAGGGUGUUGUGGUGUGUGAAUUUAAGUUAGGGAUUUGUUAGAUGGGUUUGGGCUUUAGUUAGUUUAAUUAUUAAUGGGUUUAAGUUUUAUUAAAAAUGUUUGGACUCAACCUUUAAUUUCUUAAUGGGUUGCAGGAUUUUAUUUUAAAUAGGUUAUAUUUGUUUUUAAAAUAAAUAUCAACCCAAAUAUUUUUAUAAGAAAAUAUAUUUUACUACUUAAAUUUAUUAGAUCAAUUAUUUUUAUAUGAUCCAAUAAUCUAAAUUAUUUUCUAAAGUUUAAUUAGGCCCUUAUGUUAAUUAUUUGAAUUUAUCUGACUAGGUGCGGCGCGACUAGGACGUGAACUUUAAAUUCUUGCAGUUAAUUUUCAAAACUCAAAAGUUCAAGUUUCAGUUUCAGGUGAUUGAUAUCGGAGGCGCGUGGAGAGUCGAAUGGGCGCGUCGAAUCUAUUUAAAGAUAAAUGUUUCCUAAAACAUAUUAUGUUAUUUCAUGUGAUAUCUUUUGGUUAUGUAAACUCUGAAAUUCUAUACUAUUUGAGAUUUGUGUGUGAUUUAUUUAAAUAAAUGUUGUUAUAUUAUUUUAAUGUCA
Molecule: long non-coding RNA, 753 nt
Organism: Salvia miltiorrhiza (redroot sage)
Lineage: Eukaryota; Viridiplantae; Streptophyta; Magnoliopsida; Lamiales; Lamiaceae
Exons: 2
Source: RefSeq, a predicted model, not a curated record